UGCUGUGAACUCGAAGAGUAGGGCGGGACACGUGGUAUCCUGUCUGAAUAUGGGGGGACCAUCCUCCAAGGCUAAAUACUCCUGACUGACCGAUAGUGAACCAGUACCGUGAGGGAAAGGCGAAAAGAACCCCGGCGAGGGGAGUGAAAAAGAACCUGAAACCGUGUACGUACAAGCAGUGGGAGCCUCUUUAUGGGGUGACUGCGUACCUUUUGUAUAAUGGGUCAGCGACUUAUAUUCUGUAGCAAGGUUAACCGUAUAGGGGAGCCGAAGGGAAACCGAGUCUUAACUGGGCGUUAAGUUGCAGGGUAUAGACCCGAAACCCGGUGAUCUAGCCAUGGGCAGGUUGAAGGUUGGGUAACACUAACUGGAGGACCGAACCGACUAAUGUUGAAAAAUUAGCGGAUGACCUGUGGCUGGGGGUGAAAGGCCAAUCAAACCGGGAGAUAGCUGGUUCUCCCCGAAAGCUAUUUAGGUAGCGCCUCGUGAACUCAUCUUCGGGGGUAGAGCACUGUUUCGGCUAGGGGGCCAUCCCGGCUUACCAACCCGAUGCAAACUACGAAUACCGAAGAAUGUUAUCACGGGAGACACACGGCGGGUGCUAACGUCCGUCGUGAAGAGGGAAACAACCCAGACCGCCAGCUAAGGUCCCAAAGUCAUGGUUAAGUGGGAAACGAUGUGGGAAGGCACAGACAGCCAGGAUGUUGGCUUAGAAGCAGCCAUCAUUUAAAGAAAGCGUAAUAGCUCACUGGUCGAGUCGGCCUGCGCGGAAGAUGUAACGGGGCUAAACCAUGCACCGAAGCUGCGGCAGCGACACUAUGUGUUGUUGGGUAGGGGAGCGUUCUGUAAGCCGUUGAAGGUGUGCUGUGAGGCAUGCUGGAGGUAUCAGAAGUGCGAAUGCUGACAUAAGUAACGAUAAAGCGGGUGAAAAGCCCGCUCGCCGGAAGACCAAGGGUUCCUGUCCAACGUUAAUCGGGGCAGGGUGAGUCGACCCCUAAGGCGAGGCCGAAAGGCGUAGUCGAUGGGAAACAGGUUAAUAUUCCUGUACUUGGUGUUACUGCGAAGGGGGGACGGAGAAGGCUAUGUCAGCCGGGCGACGGUUGUCCCGGUUUAAGCAUGUAGGCGGAGGUUCCAGGUAAAUCCGGUACCUUAUUAACGCUGAGGUGUGAUGACGAGGCACUACGGUGCUGAAGUGAUAAAUGCCCUGCUUCCAGGAAAAGCCUCUAAGCAUCAGGUAACACGAAAUCGUACCCCAAACCGACACAGGUGGUCAGGUAGAGAAUACCAAGGCGCUUGAGAGAACUCGGGUGAAGGAACUAGGCAAAAUGGUGCCGUAACUUCGGGAGAAGGCACGCUGAUAUGUAGGUGAAGCCCCUGCGGGCGGAGCUGAAAUCAGUCGAAGAUACCAGCUGGCUGCAACUGUUUAUUAAAAACACAGCACUGUGCAAACACGAAAGUGGACGUAUACGGUGUGACGCCUGCCCGGUGCCGGAAGGUUAAUUGAUGGGGUUAGCGGCAACGCGAAGCUCUUGAUCGAAGCCCCGGUAAACGGCGGCCGUAACUAUAACGGUCCUAAGGUAGCGAAAUUCCUUGUCGGGUAAGUUCCGACCUGCACGAAUGGCGUAAUGAUGGCCAGGCUGUCUCCACCCGAGACUCAGUGAAAUUGAACUCGCUGUGAAGAUGCAGUGUACCCGCGGCAAGACGGAAAGACCCCGUGAACCUUUACUAUAGCUUGACACUGAACACUGGUCCUUGAUGUGUAGGAUAGGUGGGAGGCUUUGAAGCGUGGACGCCAGUCUGCGUGGAGCCAACCUUGAAAUACCACCCUUUAAUGGCUGGUGUUCUAACGU
RNAcentral lists this ribosomal RNA (1850 nucleotides) under Enterobacter hormaechei. RNAcentral describes it as "partial 23S ribosomal RNA". It matches the Rfam family "Bacterial large subunit ribosomal RNA", at positions 395 to 2228 of the family's 2925-position model. Lineage: Bacteria; Pseudomonadati; Pseudomonadota; Gammaproteobacteria; Enterobacterales; Enterobacteriaceae. RNAcentral also lists the same sequence under 2 other names. The record is from RNAcentral.